RNAcentral lists this ribosomal RNA (465 nucleotides) under Vreelandella stevensii. RNAcentral describes it as "partial 16S ribosomal RNA". It matches the Rfam family "Bacterial small subunit ribosomal RNA", at positions 338 to 795 of the family's 1533-position model. The record is from RNAcentral. Lineage: Bacteria; Pseudomonadati; Pseudomonadota; Gammaproteobacteria; Oceanospirillales; Halomonadaceae.
CCUACGGGUGGCAGCAGUGGGGAAUAUUGGACAAUGGGCGAAAGCCUGAUCCAGCCAUGCCGCGUGUGUGAAGAAGGCCUUCGGGUUGUAAAGCACUUUCAGUGGGGAAGAAAGCCUUGGGGCUAAUACCCUCGAGGAAGGACAUCACCCACAGAAGAAGCACCGGCUAACUCCGUGCCAGCAGCCGCGGUAAUACGGAGGGUGCGAGCGUUAAUCGGAAUUACUGGGCGUAAAGCGCGCGUAGGCGGUCUGAUAAGCCGGUUGUGAAAGCCCCGGGCUCAACCUGGGAACGGCAUCCGGAACUGUCGAGCUAGAGUGCAGGAGAGGAAGGUAGAAUUCCCGGUGUAGCGGUGAAAUGCGUAGAGAUCGGGAGGAAUACCAGUGGCGAAGGCAGCCUUCUGGACUUGCACUGACGCUGAGGUGCGAAAGCGUGGGUAGCAAACAGGAUUAGAUACCCCAGUAGUC